RNAcentral lists this ribosomal RNA (497 nucleotides) under uncultured bacterium. Its description in RNAcentral is "partial 16S ribosomal RNA". It matches the Rfam family "Bacterial small subunit ribosomal RNA", at positions 28 to 507 of the family's 1533-position model. The record is from RNAcentral.
GAUGAACGCUGGCGGCGUGCCUAAUACAUGCAAGUCGAGCGAACGGACGAGAAGCUUGCUUCUCUGAUGUUAGCGGCGGACGGGUGAGUAACACGUGGAUAACCUACCUAUAAGACUGGGAUAACUUCGGGAAACCGUGGCUAAUACCGGAUAAUAUUUUGAACCGCAUGGUUCAAAAGUGAAAGACGGUCUUGCUGUCACUUAUAGAUGGAUCCGCGCUGCAUUAGCUAGUUGGUAAGGUAACGGCUUACCAAGGCAACGAUGCAUAGCCGACCUGAGAGGGUGAUCGGCCACACUGGAACUGAGACACGGUCCAGACUCCUACGGGAGGCAGCAGUAGGGAAUCUUCCGCAAUGGGCGAAAGCCUGACGGAGCAACGCCGCGUGAGUGAUGAAGGUCUUCGGAUCGUAAAACUCUGUUAUUAGGGAAGAACAUAUGUGUAAGUAACUGUGCACAUCUUGACGGUACCUAAUCAGAAAGCCACGGCUAACUACGUG